AUUUUAAUUGGCUGGACAAUAUAGUGAUAUAUUAGUUAAUAGCAGUGCUUAUUCACACUGCAGGUUCCUGGAAUUAUCAGCAUUCUUAAUUUAAGCAGCUCUGGGUUCCCUCUUCAUAACACAUUCAAUAGCAAUGAAAUGUCUGAAAAGCAAGAUCUAUUGCACAUAUUGUCACUCUUCACAGAUGGCACAUACCUGCGUUUGACUUGAGCCCUAGAAUAACAAUUUUAUAAUUUACUACCUCAAACAACAUUCUACUGAUCAAUCCGUACCUCCUUCCAAAUUAUGAGAUUGAUUGCUUGAAGCCGGUUUAUUCCUCCAGCUCUUAACUGGCUUAGCUUUACGUCUGUAUCUGUCUAGCUAUUCUCAAAAAUCGGAGAUACUUGUUGGUCUAUAUAGUGUGUGCCGGGUCUCUCACUGGUAGUAGCCACCUUGCAUUGUUUGUAAAAAUAUAUAUAUAUAAUCCAUUAAUUGGAAGUCCGCCCCAAUGCUCUACACCAGGGAUGAACAAACAGUAGAUUCCCUGAUGUUGUAGAACUACGAUUCCCAUGAUGCUUUUUGAAUGCUUUAGGAUGACAAAGCAUCAUUGAAGCUGUAGUUUUAAAAUAUCUGGGGAUCUACCUUUUGGGCAAUCCUGCUCUACAUUGAGUCUACAAUGUGCGUACACCUACAGUAUUUAUUUAACAUAAUUCUUACACUAUUUAUGUCUUGCUUGUGUGGACGCAGUAUCUAAAUAUUGGAUUAGUGGGGUGUUUUCUUUUAAUUUAUAUCCUGUAUUUUCUCUUUUUAAUUUCUACCAAAAUCUGUGUUCAUCUUCCCAUAAGCAGACACAGCCUUGCUACACCUUGUUUUUCAUACAGGACAUUACUUCAAUCCCUGUAGUAGCCAGACAAGGGAUUUAAACAAAACCUAAGCAGAUUAUUGUUAACCUGCUAAAGCUCUAGAUUUAGUAAUUUGCAUAAUUUUAGAUUUGCUGGUGUGUGUUGGAGCAAAUCUGGCCAAGUUAAAUGCCUCUCAGGAAAAUAUUUCUAAUUUUAUUCAUAUAUAUGUAAUUAUAUUUAAAAGGACACUCUAAGCCUCAUAAACACUUCAGUUUAUUGCACUGGUUAUGAUGUAAGGAUUAUUGGCGUGUGUCCCUGAUUUUUGUCAAACGGUUUUACAGCAGUUUGUAAAAAAAAAAAAAAAAACAAACAGGACUUUCCAGCGACCAAAGCCUGGCCACUCAACUGCUGUCAAAGGUUUCCUGAAAAUAACAAAACAAACAAACCAUGCUCUAUUCACAGUAUCAAACAAGUGCAAUUAAGGGAACAGAAUAGGAUAACCAUAAUGUAUUUGUUCAGAAUUAUAUGGCAAUGACAGGCUGCAGUCUCUGGGUCUUUGUUUAUCCUUAAAUUAUCAAUUGUGUCCAAUUAUGUACAGAUAACGAAGAAGUGAUCUUACCGGCAGCAGAGAGCCCAGAGCAUUUGGUGCUUUUUAUGUCCAAACACUACAAAAACAAGGACCUAUAAUCAAACACACAUUGCACCAUCAUCACUACAAUAAGAUAUAGUGGUUAUGCUGCUUAGACUGUCCUAGUAAUUUAUAUUGACAGAAAAUUUUGUAAGAUGUUGCCCCUUUUUUGUAGGGGUUGAAUUAUUUAUCUCAAUUAAAUUUUAAUAUUGAUUUGGUUAACAUGCCCUAUUUUAUCGAUCCAGAAUAGCAGAACUAAGGCCGAUUAAACGGCAGGUUUAAUGAAGAUUAGUGCAUAUAGCAAACAGCAGAAACGUUUCGACCACCAGAUGAGGUCUUUGUCAAACUAGCUAGCCAGCCAGCCUCGGGGCUGGAUUGGCACCAUGGAUUGGUGUUUCAGAAGAGUUCAGAUUCCUGGCUUUAACACAGUACGCUAUUUUGUCAGGGUACAUUAAGGGAAUACUAUAGUUUCCAGAAUACAAAUGUGCCCUGACACUAUUAUUAUUAUUGUAUUAUUUAUAUAGCGCCAUCUAUAGGUCUAAAUGCACCAUUUAGCUCCCUGGCCUCCCCUUACCCCCGUUUAAAAGGUGAUUUACUCACCUUUUUCCCCAGAGCUGCAUGGGUCUACUCAUCGCUGGGCCCGACUUAGCUCCGCCUCCUUAAAUUUGAUGAUCUUAGCAAAUCCAAUACUUUCCCAUAGGAAAGCAUCGUAGGCUACUGUGCAUGCACAUCAAAACACUGCACUGUGCCAAUCAGCAUCCCCUCAUAGAGAUGCAUUGAAUCAACACAGAGCCACUAGAGGUGCUUCCUGGGUCAAUGCUGCACAUGAAGUUCAGGGUUCAGUGCUGAACACUCCUUUUAUAGAGGAGUGUUCAGCACUGACCCAGGAAGCACCUCUAGUGACUCUAGAGGUGUUCAUAGGCAGCAAUGUAAACACUGCCUUUUCUCAUUAAGUUGUAGUUGUUCUGGUAACUAUAGUGUCCCUUUAAAUAUGCAAGCAAUGAGUUUCUUUUAGUUUGCAAAUUCUAUUGCAAGCCAUGUUCACACAGGCGAUGCUGUUUUAUGGAGCGUAGUAGCCACUGAUAAGGAAUGGAAAUGAGAAACUCCUGCUAAACAGCGCCGCACAAAGCAACAUUCUGCUAACUCAGUCAUGAAUGUAGAUUUUAGAAGAAAAUAGUUGAUUUUGGUAGUGAGAAAUUCCCCUUGUGUUGCUUUCUUCAUGAGAAGAUCAUCUUAAUUUCCUCCUUUCAACGUGUAUUUCUAAUACCAAGUGUCCUGAGCAUUGGAACUGCCUCACCCUAGAGCCCGAGCAAUAAAGUUUUUGCCCUACAUGAGUAUGUUCAUUCUUUGUACAGAAUUCCUCCCACACAGAAGUUUAGUUAGGUGGAAAAGUGGAUAUUCUCAAUCAGAAUGUACUGUGCAAAUACCUGAUGUACUUAAUCCUGCACUCAACCAUGGCAGAGAUUCAACAGUUUGUCAUAGAUAGCUGUCACUCAUUAGAAAAAGUGGGUGUGAGUAGUUUCAUACAAGGAAGAACAUCUACCGAUAAGAAAACUAAAUACCUUUUUACCGGAAGGAAUGUACAAACAUAGGAUAGCUGUUGAGCAGGACUGGUAGAAAUGUAUUCAGUGGAAGAGUUCAGGAAUACACAUGAAACAUUCUGGGUUUUUUUUAAAUUGAAGCAUUUAUUCACUAAACUCACAAUUUGCAGUGAAUUGAACUUCAAAAUGGAGGCUAAAAUAGCAAAGUUGUGACAAUUUUCCAAAUCAGCCGUUUUUUACAUAAAUUUUGCAUGUCAGAUUUUAAUAUGCAUUUCUGGGAUUAGUGAAUAAUCCUGAGAGAAUGUCAAGGUCUAAGUAGCCAUUUGGUAUUUCUACACACACGCAAGCAAUAUAUAAUAAUAUAUUUAUCAAACGACUAAGUCCUUAUUGUUAAUUUAAGCUAUGUGAAGGGUGGGGAGCCAUGGGUUAGAUUUCAAAUCCUCUAUUCCUAAAAUUAGUCCAUUUGUCCUGUGGAGGAACAGUAUGAAUGCAGAGUGUGACAAUAAGACUGUUACCUGUUUCAAAGAGCUUGCAUUCAUCCUGUCUUUCUUUUCAGUGGUCAUUGCGGACCGCGGCACGUUUCGUUUCCCAGAGCUGACAAGCUGGCACAUUGCUCUGCAGGGUGAAGUAGUUAACACGUGCCUGUAUAUCCUUCCUUGUUCUCAGCUUGUCACAGGUGCCAACCUCGUGCCCAGGAAUGUGUUCUGUAUAGCAGACAGAGCAGGAAAUAGGAACCAAUCUGUGUGGUGAGCAAGUUUUGCAUAGAGCCCAGCACAGAGCAUUGUCUUCCAGAGUGCACAUAGACAUGGGCAGCCAUCUAACCGUAUUCCCUAGUCAACAAGGGGUUAACCCCCCUUUGAAAAGCACAUGCU
Molecule: long non-coding RNA, 3862 nt
Filed under: Pelobates cultripes (western spadefoot toad)
Lineage: Eukaryota; Metazoa; Chordata; Amphibia; Anura; Pelobatidae
Source: RNAcentral